Long non-coding RNA from Hirundo rustica (Barn swallow), 743 nucleotides. RefSeq lists it as uncharacterized. NCBI's taxonomy places the organism in Eukaryota, Metazoa, Chordata, Aves, Passeriformes, Hirundinidae. The record is from RefSeq and is a predicted model, not a curated record. The transcript has 3 exons.
GGAGGACCCCCUAAGGAAGAAGGUAUGAUCCAGAGAAACAUGAAAAAGAACAAAACAAGGAAGAGAGUUGUGGCUGUAAAAGAUCUGCCGUGAGGUUGUUAAAUGAGAGUCUAUGUCUUGGCUCAUUUCUACCCCUAAUGAGAGGUCUCCUGCAAGAGUGUUUGUCCAGAGGACACAGUGAUUCCUGUCCUGCUGUGGAGAAGAGACUGGGAGAGUGCACUGCAGCAAGCAUGAGCUAUGCAGCAGGAACCCUUGAACUGCAGAUACAGGAUAUGAUGUCACAGCACUAUGAAGUACAGCAGUAUGGGCAGUAAUCCUGGAAAGCAGAUGAGUAGCAAAAACCAGGAAUGCCUGGCAGCUGAAAACAUUAAACAGGAAGGAAUGGCCAGAAAAAAGAGGCUUGUAAACAGGACAAGUGUAUGAGUGUUUUACUGGCUGUACACUCAUGACCAUGGAACUGCAUGGAUGGAUGUCUACCACAGGAACAGAAAAGGAAGUAGAACAGUCCAUGAAGUCUGUAUGAGGAGCAUGGUGAAGCCUCAGACUCACCUGGAAGAGGAAUGCUGAUUGGAGAUUUAGGCUUUGUAGGAAUGGAGAACCAACUUCAAUCCAUGGCUUGUUCUUGAAGGUAGCACACCACUGUGCACAGGUUUGGGAAUGCUGCAUGCUUGGCUCCAGCAGGGGCUUGCCACACUCAAGAGCCCCACAAAUUAUCAGUGAUCAAGUAAACACGCCCUGAUAUA